RNAcentral lists this unclassified non-coding RNA (187 nucleotides) under plant metagenome. RNAcentral's name for it is "partial contains small subunit ribosomal RNA and internal transcribed spacer 1". The stretch from base 1 to 46 matches the Rfam family "Eukaryotic small subunit ribosomal RNA", at positions 1786 to 1831 of the family's 1831-position model. The record is from RNAcentral.
AAGUCGUAACAAGGUUUCCGUAGGUGAACCUGCGGAAGGAUCAUUAAAGAAUUCGGCUUCGCGGCCAAGUUCUCACCCUUUGUAUACCGAAACUAUGUUGCUUUGCAUGGCCCUGCCAUUUCUUCGGCCUGGCCCGAGGUAUAACCACUAGAAUCUCUGCUGUCUGAGUACUAUGCAAUAGUUAAAA